Molecule: unclassified non-coding RNA, 329 nt
Filed under: soil metagenome
Description: partial contains 5.8S ribosomal RNA, internal transcribed spacer 2, and large subunit ribosomal RNA
Rfam family: 5.8S ribosomal RNA (bases 1-120)
Source: RNAcentral
GAUGAAGAACGUAGCGAAAUGCGAUAAAUAAUGUGAAUUGCAGAAUUCAGUGAAUCAUCGAGUCUUUGAACGCACAUUGCGCCCCCUGGUAUUCCGGGGGGCAUGCCUGUCCGAGCGUCAUUACAACCCUCAAGCUCAGCUUGGUGUUGGGCCCCGCCGCCCCGGCGGGCCCUAAAGUCAGUGGCGGUGCCGUCCGGCUCCGAGCGUAGUAAUUCUUCUCGCUCUGGAGGUCCGGUCGUGUGCUCGCCAGCAACCCCCAAUUUUUUUCAGGUUGACCUCGGAUCAGGUAGGGAUACCCGCUGAACUUAAGCAUAUCAAUAAGCGGAGGA